GGGUCAGUAGGUUGGUCGUGCCACCGGUACGUACUGGUCUCACUGAUUCCUCCUUCCUGAAGAACCGUAACGCCAUUAAUUUGGUGUUGCGGGGAAACAGGACUGUUACUUUGAAAAAAUUAGAGUGUUUAAAGCAAGCUAACGCUUGAGUACAUUAGCAUGGAAUAAUGAAAUAGGACGAUCGAUCCUAUUUUGUUGGUUUCUAGGAUUGACGUA
Molecule: ribosomal RNA, 216 nt
Filed under: Glomeromycotina sp.
Lineage: Eukaryota; Fungi; Glomeromycota
Description: partial small subunit ribosomal RNA
Rfam family: Eukaryotic small subunit ribosomal RNA (bases 75-216)
Source: RNAcentral